This 261-nucleotide long non-coding RNA is filed under the name Homo sapiens (human). Its description in RNAcentral is "HSALNT0169255". The record is from RNAcentral. Lineage: Eukaryota; Metazoa; Chordata; Mammalia; Primates; Hominidae.
GGCAGAUGGCGUGGUGCGCUCUGGUGGACGUUCCGUCUAGUUAGCCUAAGCAUCAUCCACAUACUCUGGUGAACACUCGAGGACAAGGCCGCUUGCUAUUAUUAGUAAAGGGCCGAACCGUCCUGUCAUUGGUGGAGGCAGUGCUUGACUGUGCAUCGAUCCAGGAAUCCGAUCUUUUCUCUCAACCACAGAGCUAACGUGCUCAGAAGUGGCCUUUAUCCUGGCCGAGUGUUUAUUAGAAUUCACGUUUCUGUUAUGGUC